ACGGGGUGCAGCAGGCGCGAAAACUUCGCAAUGCGGGAAACCGCGACGGGGGAAUCCUGAGUGCUUGCACAAUGUGCAAGCUUUUCUUGAGUCUAAAUCGCUCUUGGAAUAAGGUCUGGGCAAGACCGAUGCCAGCAGCCGCGGUAACACCGGCGGAUCGAGUGGUGACCAUGAUUACUGGGCUUAAAGCGUUCGUAGCCUGAUGUGUACAUUUCUGGUGAAAUCUAGCGACUCAAUCGUUAGGCGUGCCCGAAACACGACACAUCUUGGAACCGGAAGAGGUUAGCGGAAUUGUGGGGGUAAGGGUAAAAUCUGUUGAUCCCCGCAGAACCACCGAUAGCGAAGGCAGCUAACCAGGACGGCUUCGACGGUGAGGGACGAAACCCUAGGUAGCGAACCGGAUUAGAUACCCGGGUAGUCUAGGGCGUAAACGAUGUCAGUCAGGUGUCGCGUUCAAUACGUUUGAAUUGCGGUGCCGAAGGAAACCGUAAACUGACCGCCUGGGAGUACGUCGCAAG
This 518-nucleotide ribosomal RNA is filed under the name uncultured archaeon. Its description in RNAcentral is "bacterial SSU rRNA". It matches the Rfam family "Archaeal small subunit ribosomal RNA", at positions 325 to 847 of the family's 1478-position model. The record is from RNAcentral.